Molecule: ribosomal RNA, 445 nt
Filed under: uncultured bacterium
Lineage: Bacteria
Description: bacterial SSU rRNA
Rfam family: Bacterial small subunit ribosomal RNA
Source: RNAcentral
GCCAGACUCCUACGGGAGGCAGCAGUGGGGAAUAUUGGACAAUGGGGGGAACCCUGAUCCAGCGACGCCGCGUGAGUGAAGAAGUAUUUCGGUAUGUAAAGCUCUCUCAGCAGGGAAGAUAAUGACGGUACCUGAGUAAGAAGCCCCGGCUAACUACGUGCCAGCAGCCGCGGUAAUACGUAGGGGGCAAGCGUUAUCCGGAUUUACUGGGUGUAAAGGGAGCGUAGACGGCAUGGCAAGUCUGAAGUGAAAGCCCGGGGCUCAACCGCGGGACUGCUUUGGAAACUGUUAAGCUGGAGUGCAGGAGAGGUAAGUGGAAUUCCUAGUGUAGCGGUGAAAUGCGUAGAUAUUAGGAGGAACACCAGUGGCGAAGGCGGCUUACUGGACUGUAACUGACGUCGAGGCUCGAAAGCGUGGGGAGCAAACAGGAUUAGAUACCCCAGUA